RNAcentral lists this long non-coding RNA (12895 nucleotides) under Homo sapiens (human). RNAcentral's name for it is "HSALNT0155252". Lineage: Eukaryota; Metazoa; Chordata; Mammalia; Primates; Hominidae. The record is from RNAcentral.
AGCAUGGUGGUGCAUGCCUGUAAUCCCAGCUACUUGGGAGGCUGAGGCAGAAGAAUCGUUUGAACUUGGGAGGCAGAGGUUGCAGUGAGCCAAGAUUGCGCCAUUGCACUCCAGCCUGGGCAACAAGAGCGAAACUUCAUCUCCAAAAAAAAGAAAAUUCAAUUAAUUUGUUUUAUUGUUUUAUAUACAUAUAUAAAUAUAACUGAUUACACACAAAUAAGGUAGCACAAUAUAAAUGAAUAUAUAUAAAUAAGGUACCUGCCAUAUAGCAAAUGCUCAGAAGAUAUAGAAGAUGAUAAUGAUUAUUAUUAACAUCACUACCUCUGAGAAGUUGAAUUAAGGAGGUAACUUUGAUUUACCAAGUUUUAUACUUCCGUAAAUAAAUAAUUUUUCAGAAUAGGCAUGAAGUACUUUUAUAAUUAAAAGAUAUACCCUUAUUCCCAAGAGAAAUGAAAACAUAUGUCCAAAGACUUGCAUGUGAAUGUUCAUAGUAGCAUUAUUCACAAAUGCUCAUCAACUGGUGAAUGGAUAGAUAAAAUGUAUGGCAUAUCCAUACACUGGAAUAUAUUCAGCACAAAAAGGAACUGACUACUCAAGUGCUAUGGCACGGACAAACUUCAAAACCACCAUGCUACGUGAAAGCAGCAAGACACAGAUAAUACAUAUGGUAUAAUUCAAUUUAUAUGACAUGUCCAGAAAAGACAAAUCUAUAGAGACAGUAGGAUUAAGGAUUGCUGGGUUUAACAGUAAAAGGGCAGAAAGGUCCUUAUUAAGAUGAUGAAAAUGUUCUAAAACUGAUUUGUGGUAAUGGUUGCAAAACUUGGUAAAUAUACCAAACAUCGCUCAACUGUACAGAGUAAAUUAUGAUAUGUGAAACAUGUCUCAUUGUUUAAAAAAAAAAAAAAGGUUUAAAAAGAUACAUCCUUACAAAACCAUGCCUAUUUUACACUUAUAUAAUGCUCUGCCCUUGGGAGGGGCUUUAACUUGCAUUUCUCUAUUUCAUCCUCCUAACUAUCAUGUGAGGCAGACAGAGUAGGGACCAUGCUCUUUGGAGAAAAAAGAAAAAUGAUGUUCAGAUUAGGCCACAGCUACUGCUAGCAAAUAAAGCACCCAGAGCCCAGAUCGAAACACAACUAACUCAAUAGAUACAGUGGUAAAAAUGUACCAAGACUUCAAGAUUCCAGGAGUAAUAACCAAACAGUGAUCACAAGUACAGUGAUGACCAGGGGCUUUGCCUGCAAAGUAUACUCCUUUUUAAAAUUCUUUAACUUUUUGAAUAAAUGUGCACUUAAGAAAUCUGACAUAAAACAUGCUUUUUGUUCCUUACACAGUCUGGCUAAAAGUCACAUCAUUAUGGAUAUGCAUAGAUUCCCUGACACAAGAAGAAACUUCCUUUUCAGUAGCUCAAAAAAUGCUUAGCAUACAUUGGGGAUUCAAGAAAUGCUUAUUAGGCUGGAAGUGGUGGCUCACACCUAUAAUCCCAGCACUUUGGGAGGCCGAGAUGGAUCACUUAAGUCCUUGAGUUUGAGACUAGCCUAGGAAACACAGUGAGACCCAAUAUCUUUAAAAAAAAAAAAAAAGAAUGAGUGGGGUGUGGUGGUGGUGCAAGCCUGCAGUCCCAGUAACUUAGGAGGAUACGGUGGGAGUAUCACUUCAGCCAAGGAGGUUGAAGUUGCAGUGAGCUGUGACCAUACCACUGCACUGGAGCCUGGGUGACAGAGUAAGACCUUGUCUCAAAAAAAAAGAAAAAGGAAAAAAAGGAAAUGCUUCUUACUAAUAUGAAAAAUAAUAGCAAAUUUUUUAAAAGUUUAAUUUGAACAUACUGUAAAUGAAUCUAGCAUUUCAUUUUGUACAGAAAAACUGAAGAGAAAUGACAAGAGAUAAAACCUAAACCAUAAGCCACACAGAAAUGUUUUUGAGGGGGCAGGGGAGGAAGGUGGUUAAUUUUUGGCAAUCAUUGUGCUAAAAAGCCACAGGCAUUCCCAGCACCAGGCAAGCAACCAAGAAAAUAACAGCCGAGCAUGGUGGCUCGUGCCUAUAAUCUCAGCACUUUGAGAGGCCGAGGCGGGCUGAUCUCUUGAGCCCAGGAGUUUGAAACCAGCCUGGGAAACAUGGUGAAACCCCGUCUCUAACAAAAAUACAAAAAAAUUAGCCGGGCAUGGUGGCAUGCAGCUGUGGUCCCAGCUACUUCGCAGGCUGAGGUGAGAGGAUCGCUUGAGCCUGGGAGGCAGAGGUUGCACUGAGCUGAGAUCACACCACCACACUCCAGCUUGGGUGACAGAGUGAGAAGAAAACAAAAGUCUGGCAUGACCAACCAGUAUUUUCCCACGCUCUUCUCCAGUUUACACUGACUAGGGUUUACAGAACUGCAACAAGAAUUGGUUCUGUGUGUAAUAUCCCAUGUCCUUCACACUAAACUGGGUUGACAAUGUCGGUGAUCUCCCUAAGUCCCGUUUUCCAGAUGGAAAACUAGGUUCAGACCGGCAAAACAGCAAAGUUUCUUUGACAUUUUCUGUUGCUCACUGCUAAAAAGAUUAUGGCUUUUCAGCUGUUAAUUGAAACACUGUGUGUCAAAUCCUGAUGCCUAGUUGAGAUAACUUUACUUAAUCACAUUCUCUGAGGAGAAAUGUCUUAGAAAUAGCUGUUAAAUAAAAUAAAAGUUAAGCAAACUACAAAUACUGAACCACUAUAACGUAUUUGGGACUUUUGUUUUGAUACUUGAUAUAUUUUUUCAGGAUUUGGGCACCUACAGAGGAUAAAGACUAUCAGGAAAAGUCACAAGCCAUAAAGAAACAGGUUUUGGGAAUGGGGUAGAGCAACAAAAACACUGGAAAACCUUAAAAAAAAAAGAGUAGGGAUAUGAUGGCAAGGUGUCAAGACUUGAUCUUUGGACAGUUCUGAGUUUUCAAAGAGUUUGGGGGAAAGGAGGCCAUUCAGGCAAGCAAAGAGCUAGGAAGGAAAGGAGAUUCCUUUCAGAGGACUGAGAGGAUAGUGUAUGUCUCAUGAGUCCAAUUAUUAUUAUUAUUAUUUAUUUAUUUAUUUGAGACAAGGUCUUGUUCUGUCACCCAGGCUGAAGUGUAGUGACAUGAUCACAGUUCACUGCAGCCUUGACCUCGCGGGCUCAAGAUCCUCCCACCUCAGAUUCCCAACUAGCUAGGACUACAGGCAUGAGCUACCAUGCCUGGCUAAUUUUUUUUUUUUUUUUUAAGAGAUGGGGUCUCACUCUGUUUCCCAGGCUGGUCUUCUGGGCUCGUGUGAUGCUCCUACCUAGGCCUCCCAAAGUGCUGGGAUUACAGGCAUGGGCCACCACACCCAGCCUGAGUCCAAUUACUUAGAAUCAUAAUAUCCUGUCUUAAUUUCUCCUCCCUACCCCCUGAAUAUUUAGUGAGGGAAGCCUGUUUUAGCUGUUCUAGCCCUACCUCAGCUGUACUAUAUGGGGUCUUGAAGGAAAAACUACUUAUCUCUGCUUAGACCAGAAAGUUAAAGAAGAAUGGAUGUCUAACCACCCACUAACAUCUGUUUGACAGACAACAUAAGCCUCCUCCCCUUUCUCCACACUUUUUCUUCUACCUUUAUUAAGCCCUUACUUUGUGCCUGGCACCAGUGUUAACUGUUUUACAUGUAUCACCUCACCAGAGUCUUUUAAGUCUGAAUGUAAGUUUAUUAUUCCCAUUUCAGAGAUAAACUAAGGCUCAGAGGUUAAGUUGCCCAAAGUCAAACAGCUAGUAAAGGGCAGAGCUAGAAUAUGAACCCAGGAAUGUCGGAGUACUACAAGCUCUUAACUACCAUGCCAUACUGGUGGCAACAAUUAGUAAUUACCAAGACUUCAAAGGUAUGGUGACUCACAGGGGCAAGAGUUAAUGUACUCUUCUCUUUGCAAAGAUUUCCUUCCAGGCAAAUGAUGAUAAGUUCUAUCGUUCUUGAGGGCUGUGGCAGUUUCCCGGUACAUGGUGGCAGCAGUGGGAUCACAGCCGUGGGUAAGCUAGGCUAGCAAACCAAAGCAUCCUGUCCUCAGACAGAUGAGAAUGUUACCAUCUGAACUUCUUCAGGUCAAUUUUCGAAUACUAAGCUGAAUACUGAAAAGACACCUUUUCUAUUUCAUUCUCCCUCUGAAUGGGUAAUAUCCAGCCACUCCAAUUAGUUUCAUAUUAGGUAUCUUUUCUUAAAAUCUCUGUUGGCAUCAUGUCCCUGCUUAGCCUGAGAAUGUGCAGAGACAGAACGCUGGGACGGGAGUUAUCCUAGGACACACUGACUACUUUCAUAGGACCAUGAGGCUAUUUCCCAAAAGCUGAAAUCAAGAAAAUAGGUCCCCUAAAACAAUUAGUGUUUCUAAAAAACAUGAAACAGCUCUUUGAGAUAUCAAAUAUUAUUCAGUCAGACUUUGUGAUUUGAGCUUGCCAUUGGUGGAGGCUCUGCAGCUUGCGCAGUGCUCUGGGUUUUGCUCCAGAUCUGUCACAUUGCAUUAGUGCCCUUCCUCCUCACUGCCAACAAAAAUAACAGCCUUGAACAUGGCAGCACAAUCCAUUUGUCCUGCUCUAAUUACUUUUUGACAUUACUUUUUCUGUUGCUAGCUUGUUUUUUUUUUUUUUUUUCUACCAACCUCAGGGCAUCAUUAGAGUCAUCUGAAAACAAAAUCUUUAGGUUCUGCCAAUAUAUAUUUGGAUAACUUUCUAGCACAAAAUGGUUCCAAAGAGCAGUAUGAUAGUAGUUAUAAGAAAAGCCACAAGGCACUCAUAACUAUUUCCAGAAUUCCCCAGAUGUCACAGAGAGUAUAGCCAAGGACAAAAUGCCAGGGUUUGAAGUUAUAGGACCUGGGCAAGUUGUAGCUCUACCACUCACUAGCUGUGAGACCUUGGAGCAAGUCUCCGAAUCUGUCUAGUUUUAGUUUCCUCUUUUGACAAAUGGAGUCAUCUCUUUACUCUGGUAACCUCACAAGAGCUGCUGUGAAGAUCGGUUGAGAUAAUGCAUGUGAAAAUACUUUAGAAAGAGCAAUAGUGUUAUUAUUAUUGAGAUAGUGUCUCGCUUUGCCACCCAGGCUGAAGUGCAGUGGCAUGAUCACAGCUCACGGCAGCCUCAACCUCACAGGCUCAAGCGAGCCUCCUGCUCAUCCUCUCAAGUAGCUGGGACCAAAGGUAUGCGCCACCAUGUCUGGCUAAUUCUUUUUUGUAGAGGUGGGGUCUCCUUAUGCUGCCCAGGCUCAUUUUAUUAAGAGGCAUAAAAUGAUGACCAAUAUUGCAAGGCUCUCUAGGUUUUCUGUUCUUCAUUAAUUCUAGUGUGUUCUUCAUUAAUUCUAGAGUGUGAUAGUUAUUUUUAUGCCAACUUGCUUGGCUGGGCCACAGGGUGCCCAGACUGUUUGGUCAAACAAUAUUCUGGGUGUGUCUGGGGGGGGCUAUUUUUGGAUGAGAUUAACAUUUACGUCUGCAAACUCUGAGUAAAGCAGAUUGCCCUCCAUAAUGUGAGUGUGCCUCAUCAAAUUAGGUGAAGGCCUGAACAGAACAAAAAGACCAGCCUCCCUCCUACAAGAGAGAACUCUCCAGCAGCCUGCCUUUGGACUUGAACUGGAACAUUGGCUACCGUAGGUGUCUGGCCUGCAGACCUUCAGACUGCAAAUGCAGCAUGGCUUUCUUGGGUCUCCAACUGACUGAGCCAUCCUGCAGAUUCUGUGUCUUUAUUCAUUUAUUUAUUUUUUGAGACACAAUUUCACUGUCACACAGGCUGGAGUGCAGUGGUACGAUCUCAGCUUACUGCAACCUCUGCCUGCGGGCUCAAGCAAUUCUCCUGCGUCAGCCUUCCGAGCAGCUGGGACUACAGGCGCACGCCACCAUGCCCAGCUAAUUUUUGUAUUUUCCGUAGAGACAGGGUUUCACCAUGCUGGCCAGGCUGGUCUUGAACUCCUGACCUCAAGUGAUCUGCCCGCCUUGGCCUCCCAAAGUGCUGGGAUUACAGGCUUGAGCCACCACACCCAGCCAUAUCCUACAGAUUUUGGAUUUGCCAGUCUUCAUAAUCACGUGAGCCAAUUCCUUAAAAUGAAUCUCCAUCCAUCCAGCCAGCCAGCCUCAAAGCAUAUUGGUUCUGUUUCUCUGGAGAAUAAUGACUCAUACAUCUAGGAUCUAGUUUUGUUUAGAAUUCAAAUGAUCAUACUAUGCACUAAAAAUUAGGGGCAGAAAUAUCAGAGAUAAAUUAAAUCCAGAAGUGUAUCUUCCAGAGCCUCCAGCAUGACAGAUACUGACUUACAAAUUAUAUAUAUUUCCAAAAGUCACUUUUUGGCCUGCUGCCUGGAACUUAAAAGGCUAUCCCUAAUAAUACUGGAGCUUCAGGCGGGGCGUGGUGGCUCACGCCUGUAAUCCCAGCACUUUGGGAGGCCGAGGUGGGUGGAUCACGGGGUCAGGAAUUUGAGACCAGCCUGGCCAAGAUGGUGAAACCCCGUCUCUACUAAAAAUACAAAAAUUAGCCGGGCGUAGGGGCACACGCCUGUAAUCCCAGCUACUCAGGAGGCUGAGGCAGGAGAAUCGCUUGAACCCGGGAGGUGGAGUUUGCAGUGAGCCAAGAGGGCACCACUGCACUCCAGCCUGGUGGCAGAGUGAGACUCCAUCUCAAAAUAAUAAAAAUAAUGGAGCUUCAGGACAAAAGACUACUGAGAAGCUACCAUUACAGGAAUUGACUGAUACAUAUUUAUUGGAUAAGUACACAAAUGAAUGUUGUUCUAUUUAGAAAAUGCUUUUGGAAGAAUACAACAUUUCUUGAGCACUUCCAGAGUACUAUGCACUGCACUAGAUGUUUCACAUAUAUUGUUUCAUUCAACACUUAACAUCUGUAAGACAAUGUUUCCUAUUUCUUAAAAUGACAAAACUGAGCUCUGACAGAUGUUUUGGCCUAGGUCAUGUACCUAGAAUGUAGUGUAACUGAGAUCAGAACCCAGAUGAUUCCAGUGCCUUGCCUCUAACUACAGGAUAGCCAUAUUAAAUAAUCUAGCCCCGCCUUAAAAAACAAACAAACAGAAAAGUGGCAGUGAUUAACUAAGAUGUACCUUUAUUUCCAUACCAUUUUUUCCCUUCCUCCACUCACUCCUAAAUGAAGGAUGGCAAAAAACUCUAAGAAAACAAAAAGCACUGGACCACAGGAGAUUAUGGAAAUCCACAGGCUGAGGGGUUUUCAGCAGGAUGACAAAGUAAGCAACUUGAUUCUAGCAAAAGUUUGGAUGUAAAGAACAUCUUAGCAAAUGAGAGUGAGAAUUUCUUUUUUAAAAAUUUUUUAGAGUUGCUGUCCCUUUGUCACCCAGGAUGGAGCACAGUGAUGCAAUCACAGCUCACUGCAGUCUUGAAUUCCUGGACUCUGGCAAUCCUCCUGCCUCAGCCUCCUAAGUAGCUCAGACUACAGGCAUGUGCCACCACAACCUGCUAAUUUUCAAAUUUUUUUGUACAAACGGGGCCUUGUCAUCUUACCCAAGCUGGUCUCGAACUCCUGGACUCAAGCCAUCUGCCUGCCUUGGCCUCCCAAAGUGCUAGGAUUACAGGCAUAAGCCACCAUGCCUGGUCUGAGAUUUUCUUUUUUUUUUUUUUUUUUUUUUUUUUUUCAAAACAAAGCAACAGAAAGUACAGUGGUCCCAAGGAACUAUAAAUGUAGAUGGAAGAAAAUACGGUGUGUGUAGAGAGUGAAGGGGACUUUGUUUGGCCUUUGCUUUUGUUGUUGUUAUUGUUGUUGUUGUUUUUGAGACGGAGUCUCGCUCUGCCGCCAGGCUGGAAUGCAGCGGUGCAAUCUCAGCUCACUGCAACCUCCGCCUCCUGGAUUUAAGUGAUUCUCCUGCCUCAGCCUCCCGAGUAGCUGGGACUACAGGCGCACGCCACCACACCCAGGUAAUUUUUGUAUUAUUAGUAGAGACGGGGUUUAACCACGUUGGCCAGAAUGGUCUUGAACUCCUGACCUCAGGUGAUCCGCCCGCCUCGGCCUCCAAAAGUGCCGGGAUUACAGGCGUGAGCCACCGCACCUGGCCUGCCUUUGAUUUUCUAAUAAUUAUUAAUUUUUUUUGAGAUGGAGUCUUGCUCCGUCACCAGGCUGCAGUGCAGUGGCACAAUCUUGGCUCACUGCAAUCUGGGCCUCGCAGGUUCAAGCAAUUCCCCUGCUUCAGCCUCCCAAGUAGCUGGAACUUCAGGCACAUACUACCACACCCGGCUAAUUUUUUGUAUUUUAAUAGAGAUGGUGUUUCACCAUGUUGACCAGGAUGGUCUCAAUCUCCUGACCUUGUGAUCCGUCCGCCUUGGCUCCCAAAGUGCUGGGAUUACAGGCAUGAGCCACCACGUCCAGCCUAUUUUUUUUUUUUUAAAGAGAUGGAGUCUUGCUCCGUUGCCCAGGUUGGAGUACAAUGGCGUGAUCUUGGCUCACUGCAACCUCCGCCUCCCGGGUUCAAGCAAUUCUCCUGCCUCAGUCUCCUGAGUAGCUGGGACUAGAGGCACACACCACCACGCCCGGCUAAUUUUUUUGUUUUUGUCUUUGUUUUUGGAUUUUAGUAGAGACGGGGUUUCACCAUGUUUCCCAGGCUGGUCUCGAACUCCCGAGUUCAGGCAAUCUGCCCACCUCGGCCUCCCAAAGUGCUAGGAUUACAGGCGCGAGCCACCGCCCCCGGCCCUGGCCUUUGCUUUUAAUGUCAACACAUCCUCACCAUGAUGACCACCUAAGCUGCAAGUGACACGUCAAGCCAAAGACAGGCCAAAGAGGCCUCUGCCUCCUGCAAUGCCUCCCUUUUACCAUCUCAGAUGGCUUUUUAGGAUUCAUCCUUAAUUCACAUUCUUCCUGCCACAAGUGAAUGGAGUUAAAAAGGGAAACUUAUCCUGCAUUUUCUACUGGUGUGCAGAGCCUAACAAUCAAGGGCAGGAACCUACAGAACGAUAAGUAAUGAAACAAGAAUUGUUUGUUAUCAGGCCAAUUAAAUUCGAUUUUAACUCAUUAAAACAGGCCAAGUAGAAACCAGCUGUAAAGUGAGACUGUAUUUUCCUGCAACAAAGUGUGACAGCAAGUUAUUUAAAUAUAAUUAUGACACUUGUAAAAUGCUGCAAUUGAAUUAGUUUCAAAACACAUUUCUUCUUCAUCUUGAUCACUUAAUAGUAAAUCCACUUAUAAUCAUGACUUUAGAAUAACUCUGUGAGAAAGUAUCAUCACCUCCAUUUUACCAGUGAAGAAACUGAGGCUCCAGAAGAUGGGAAUCAAAUAUCCAAGUGGGCAGAGCUAGAACCUGACUCCAAGUUUUGAGUGUUUUUUCCUUUCUCGAGGCCAUUUCCCAGAGCGUGCAAGGUCUUCCCUGUUAGGCCUCUCACUUUCUUGAGGUGUCCUGAUUGUUUUACCUUCCUUUGCCUUCCUAGAAGAAUACUGUUUCUUCCUGUCAUCUUAGCACAUCGUUCUAUGUACAGUGUUGGAUAGGCACUACUGUAGCUAUAGCUUCUUAGUCAUUUCAGUUUGAAGAACAACUAUGCCUGCCAAGUUCUAAGUCACUCAUGUGGUUUUUUUAAAAUAGUCACCAGCACAAGGGAGGAACUGACUCCAGUGAUACUGAUUUUUUCCUCCAAAUUUUAGGGCAACUUUAUUUCAUUAAUUUUUCAUUAAAGUGUAAACAGUCUGUGGCCAAAAGGCAAGAAUCUUUUUGAAAUGAACAUUUUGAGAUACUAAAGUAGUAAUAAACCACGUUGCCCAAAUUUUUUCAUACAUGUUAUCAAGAGAGAAAGUAAUAAAACCUCAAAAUGACAGUUCCAGAUCAAAGCAAAUACCUACAAAUACAGAGCUAUAUGUGAAUUAUAUUUUAUCAUACAAUAUCUAGAAUUAAACUCCUAGAAAAUUAUAUUUAGAAUGGCUACACCUUUCUGAACUCCAGUUCCUCCAAAUCAGUUUUUUUUUUUUUUUUUUUUUUGAGACGGAGUUUUGCUCUUGUUGCCCAGGCUGGAGUGCAAUGGCAUGAUCUUGGCUCACUGCAACCUCUGCCUCCCAGGUUCAAGUGAUUAUCCUGUCUCAGCCUCCUGAGUAGCUAGUAGCUGAGUAGCUAGUAGCAGGCGCAUGACACCACGCCUGGCUAAUUUUUUUUUUUUUGUAUUUUUAGUAGAGACGGGGUUUCAUUAUAUUGGUCAGGCUGGUCUCCAACUCCUGACCUCAGGUGAUCCGCCUGCUUUGGCCUCCAAAGUGCUGGGAUUACAGGUGUGAGCCACUGCACCCAGCCCCAACUCGGCUUAAAACCAGUGGAGGCUGGCUAUCCUAGGGGGAAGAGCAUGGGUUCUGAAAUCCGACACACCUGGGUUCCUAUUCUUGUUCUACUAUUUUAUACUUUUGACCCCUGGGCAAGUUACUACAUUUCUUUUUUUUUUUUUUUUUUUUUUUUUGAGACAGAGUUUCGCUCUUGUUGCCCAGGCUAGAGUGCAAUGGCACGAUCUCAGCUCACCGCAACCUCUGCUUCCCGGGUUCAAGCGAUUCUCCUGCCUCAGCCUCCCGAGUGGCUGGGAUUACAGGUAUGGGCCACCACAUCCUGCUGAUUUUGUAUUUUUAGUAGAGACGGAGUUUUUCCACGUUGGUCAGGCUCGAACUCCUGACCUCAGGUGAUCCACCUGCCUUGGCCUCCCAAAGUGCUGGGAUUACAGGCGUGAGCCACUAUGCCGGGCCCUACAUUUCUUGAAGUCUCAGUUUUCUCACAUAAAAUAAGAAUACCAUCCCUUAUCUUUUACAGUUAUUGUGAGGUAUAAAGUAAAUGAAUGAAUAUUUCAGGCAAGCUCAGUUUCUGGGAUAUAAAUGAUGUUCAAUAAAUACCAAUAAGUACUCAAUAGAUGUUUGUUAUGAACAGUUUUAAAAGCCCUAUAAGGAAUAUGCGUGCUGUACCUCCCAUGACCAGCGAGAGGGAAAUGAAGAUCAGUGAUAUGACAUUAAGUAGUGAAGAUUUAUUUAUACUUCUAGAAUUUCUGCAUUUUAGCGUUUGUUUCUCCCUGAAUUACAUAGAAUAUGGCCACAACUGGAAGAUGACUUUAAGGUGAAAUAUUAAGAUACAAGGAUCAUUGGUAAUUAAAUAAAAUGAUUUUCUUUUUAAUCUAUAUACAAAAUGGUACCCAAAUUGCUACAAAGAGAAAACAUUUUCUACACAGCUUGCAUUUCUGCAGCAUAGCUUUAAAUGAAACCACUCUGUAAUCUCACAGAUUAUGUCUAAAAAUAGAAUGAUAGGCCAGCUGUCAGACAUAUACAUUGUAGGGAGAAUGGGGCCAAGAAUCUUUCCCCAAACACCACUGGAACUCUUCUGGCAUUUGCUCCCACAAAGACAAAAAACUAAAAUCUAUUCAAUUCCAGCAGCUACCUGCAUUUUUUUUUUAACUUUUAAGUUCAGGGGUACCUGUGCAGAAUGUGCUGGUUUGUUACACAGGUAAACAUGUCUCAUGGAAGUUUGUUGUACAGAUCAUUUCAUCACCCAGGUAUUAAGCCUAGUAUCCAUUAGUUAUUUUUCCUGAUCCUCUCCCUCCUCCCACCCUCUGCCCUCUGGUAAGCCCCAGUAUGUGUUGUUCCCCUCUAUGUGGCCGUGUGUUCUCAUCAUUUAGCUCCUACUUAUAAGUGAGAACAUGCGGUAUUUGGCUUUCUGUUCCUGCACUAGUUUACUAAGGAUAAUGGCCUCCAGCUCCAUGUAUGUCCCUGCAAAAGACAUGAUCUUGUAUUUUUUUCUUAUGGCUGCAUAGUAUUCCAUGAUGUAUAUGUACAUUUUCUUUACCUAGCCUAUCAUUGGUGGGCAUUUAGAUUGAUUCUGUGUCUUUGCUAUUGUGAAUAGCGCUGUAAUGAAUGUACAUGUGCAUGUGUCUUUAUAAAUAGAAUGAUUUAUAUUCCUUUGGAAAUAUGCCCAGUAAUGGGAUUUCUGGGUCGAAUGGUGUUACUGUAUCUAGGUCUUUGAGGAAUUGCCACACUCUUCCACAAUAGUUGAACUAACAUACACUCCCACCAACAGUGUAAAAGCUUUCCUUUUUCUCGACAAUCUUGCCAGCGUCUGUUAUUUUUUGACUUUUUAAUAACAGCCAUUCUGACUGGUGUGAGAUUGUAUCUCAUUGUGGUUUUGACUAACAUUUCUCUAAGGAUCAGUAAUGUUGAGCUGUUUUUCAUAUGCUUCUUGGCCACAUGUAUGUCUUUUCAGAAGGAUCUGUUCCUGUCCUUUGUCCACUUUUUAACGGGGUUGUUUUGUUUCUUGUAAAUUUGUUUAAGUUCUUACAGAUGCUGGAUAUUAGACCUUUGUCAGAUUACUGCUUUCUUUUAGAUUUAGGAGAAAGGAUUGGAAUGCCAAGAUUUGUAAGGUUCUUGUGAAAUCUCCCCAAAUCUGCAAUGUGCUGUUCCUAAAAGGCUUAUAACAAAAGUAUCAUGCAUGAUCUGAAAUUAUUGGUUCAAUACAACCCCAUUUAUAAAAAUGUUUUGCUUUUUUGUGAACUCUCCCUUCCAAGUUAUUUAACCUUUUAAAAUAAAAAGAUGCAAUGUGAUGGGGACUGUGUUCUAGUCCAGACCCUGCCAUUAAUAUGCUACAUAAACUUAGGUAAACUAUAACCCCUCUAUGGACCUCAGUUUUCCCAUCUGGAUAAUGAGAAAGUUGUGGGAGACAGCCAUGUAAGGAUGUGUUUCAGCUACAAUGCUCUAGAUUAUCUGAGCCUCAAAAUUUCCACACAAGCUGAAAAGAAAAGAAACAACCUUUUACUUCUAAGCUAUGUUUUGAGGUGCUUCAGUGCCAAUUUCUUAGGUAAUCUUUCCACCGAAUCAAGGAUGCAGUGCCCCUAAAAAGAUGAAUGGAAGACACUUCAGGCCGGGCGCAGUGGCUCACACUUGUAAUCCCAGCUCUUUGGGAGGCCAAGGCGAGCGGAUCACCAGGUCAGGAGAUCGAGACCAUCCUGGCUAACACGGUGAAACCCCG